This 443-nucleotide ribosomal RNA is filed under the name uncultured bacterium. RNAcentral describes it as "partial 16S ribosomal RNA". It matches the Rfam family "Bacterial small subunit ribosomal RNA", at positions 338 to 795 of the family's 1533-position model. The record is from RNAcentral.
CCUACGGGAGGCAGCAGUGGGGAAUAUUGGGCAAUGGGCGCAAGCCUGACCCAGCAACGCCGCGUGAAGGAAGAAGGCUUUCGGGUUGUAAACUUCUUUUCUGAGGGACGAAGAAAGUGCCGGUACCUCAGGAAUAAGCCACGGCUAACUACGUGCCAGCAGCCGCGGUAAUACGUAGGUGGCAAGCGUUAACCGGAUUUAUUGGGUGUAAAGGGCGUGUAGGCGGGAAGGCAAGUCAGAUGUGAAAACUCAGGGCUCAACCCUGAGCCUGCAUUUGAAACUGUUUUUCUUGAGUUCUGGAGAGGCAAUCGGAAUUCCGGGUGUAGCGGUGAAAUGCGUAGAUAUACGGAGGAACACCAGUGGCGAAGGCAGAUUGCUGGACAGUAACUGACGCUGAGGCGCGAAAGCGUGGGGAGCAAACAGGAUUAGAUACCCGUGUAGUC